RNAcentral lists this ribosomal RNA (400 nucleotides) under phytoplankton environmental sample. RNAcentral describes it as "partial small subunit ribosomal RNA". It matches the Rfam family "Eukaryotic small subunit ribosomal RNA", at positions 587 to 993 of the family's 1831-position model. The record is from RNAcentral.
AGCUCUGUAAGCGUAUACCAAAGUUGUUGCAGUUAAAACGCUCGUAGUCGGAACUUGGCGGGCGAUUUGCUACAUUCGUAAGAAUGAUGGCAGAUCGGCCGCCUUUGUGGAUGGGGGCCUAGUGGUUCUUUACUGCAUCGCUAGGUCGCUGCCACCGUUUACUGUGAAAAAAUUAGAGUGUUCAAGGCAGGCUCGCCAGCUUGAAUACAUGAGCAUGGAAUAAUGGAAUAGGACUACGGUCCCUAUUUCGUUGGUUUGACGGACCGAAGUAAUGAUUAAGAGGGACAAUUGGGGGCAUCCGUAUUUCGUAGUCAGAGGUGAAAUUCUUGGACCUACGAAAGACGAACAACUGCGAAAGCAUUUGCCAAGAGUGUUUUCAUUAAUCAAGAACGAAAGUAGG